UUACACAUGCAGUCGAGCGGCUGCGGGACUUCGGUCUGGUGGCGAGUGGCGGACGGGUGAGUAAUGUCUCGGAACGUGCCCGGUAGCGGGGGAUAACUUCGCGAAAGGGUAGCUAAUACCGCAUACGCCCUACGGGGGAAAGCAGGGGAUCGCAAGACCUUGCACUAUUGGAGCGGCCGAUGUCGGAUUAGCUAGUUGGUGGGGUAACGGCUCACCAAGGCGACGAUCCGUAGCUGGUUUGAGAGGACGACCAGCCACACUGGGACUGAGACACGGCCCAGACUCCUACGGGAGGCAGCAGUGGGGAAUUUUGGACAAUGGGGGAAACCCUGAUCCAGCCAUCCCGCGUGUGCGAUGAAGGCCUUCGGGUUGUAAAGCACUUUUGGCAGGGAAGAAACGUCGUGGGUUAAUACCUCGCUAAUCUGACGGUACCUGCAGAAUAAGCACCGGCUAACUACGUGCCAGCAGCCGCGGUAAUACGUAGGGUGCAAGCGUUAAUCAGAAUUACUGGGCGUAAAGCGUGCGCAGGCGGUUCGGUAAGAUAGAUGUGAAAUCCCAGAGCUCAACUUGGGAACUGCAUUCUUUAACUAGCGAGCUAGAGUGUGUCAGAGGGAGGUGGAAUUCCGCGUGUAGCAGUGAAAUGCGUAGAUAUGCGAGGACACCGAUGCGAGCAGCCUCCUGGGCUCACACUGACCUCAUGCACGAAAGCGUGGGGAGCAACAGAUUAGAUACCUGUAGUCACGCCGUCACGAUGUCACUAGCUGUGGGUCUUCGGACUUGUUGGCGCAGCUACGCAUGAGU
RNAcentral lists this ribosomal RNA (801 nucleotides) under Achromobacter sp. SB66. Its description in RNAcentral is "bacterial SSU rRNA". It matches the Rfam family "Bacterial small subunit ribosomal RNA", at positions 49 to 865 of the family's 1533-position model. The record is from RNAcentral. Lineage: Bacteria; Pseudomonadati; Pseudomonadota; Betaproteobacteria; Burkholderiales; Alcaligenaceae.